This 301-nucleotide ribosomal RNA is filed under the name uncultured bacterium. Its description in RNAcentral is "partial 16S ribosomal RNA". It matches the Rfam family "Bacterial small subunit ribosomal RNA", at positions 509 to 807 of the family's 1533-position model. The record is from RNAcentral.
CAGCAGCCGCGGGAAUACGUAGGGUGCGAGUGUUAAUCGGAAUUACUGGGCGUAAAGCGUGCGCAGGCGGUUUUGUAAGACAGGCGUGAAAUCCCCGGGCUCAACCUGGGAAUGGCGCUUGUGACUGCAAAGCUAGAGUGCGGCAGAGGGGGAUGGAAUUCCGCGUGUAGCAGUGAAAUGCGUAGAUAUGCGGAGGAACACCGAUGGAGAAGGCAAUCCCCUGGGCCUGCACUGACGCUCAUGCACGAAAGCGUGGGGAGCAAACAGGAUUAGAUACCCCUGUAGUCCCUGUCUCUUAUAC